Molecule: long non-coding RNA, 877 nt
Organism: Cygnus atratus (black swan)
Lineage: Eukaryota; Metazoa; Chordata; Aves; Anseriformes; Anatidae
Exons: 3
Source: RefSeq, a predicted model, not a curated record
UUGUUUUCUAGACUUUUUCACAAGCAGGGUAAUGUUUUACUUGCUUUUAUAUCCAAUUCCCACUGAAUGGAAGUUUUUCAUGUGCUGUCACUCCCACCUCCACUCCACCCCUCUAGUUCAUGAGCAAGUUUACUGAGCUCACCAGCAGCUCAUGUUUAUUUUCUUAUCUUAAGUUAGAGUGUGAAAUUAAAACACUUGAUUUGUCCUUGGCAAGUUUAAAUGAGUAUUAUUUAUACAGCACCGUAGGGGUCCGUAGCUCUUUGCGAGCAAAAAGAAACUGAAAUACCAUGGCAUGGGGUGAUGCACUGCCAGGGGCUUGCCAACACUCAUAGUGGGCACAAUGGAGCAAAUAGGGACAGAGAUUGCUUAGCUUGACUUGGUGCUUUGUGGCUCUGUGUUUUGCUCCUCACAGCUGGUCUGUCAAACCAGGACAUUUCACUAGAAAGACAUCAGUAUCCUUGUGUUAUUUGGGGCAUGGCCACUGAUGAGACUUUGCAGAACAUCUUAGUGCUGGGUAUAUUUCUGGCACCGGCUCUCACAAAUGUUGCCAGCCAAGUUUUACAACACUUCGUUGGGCUAUUGCCAGCAGCCAGGUCACAGCGUCAUGGAUCUCCAGGUAGAAAAACUGCCUUUAUGCACCUCUGGAGUGGCAGUAGGCCAGCUUAACCUCAGAGAAGAAAGAUUGUUAGCAGUGUCCUUGAAGCUGGGGAGCCAGAGAGCAGUGACUCCGCUGAGCAGGUCUGUCUGACCCAUGGCUCAAAGGCAGCUGUAAUCACUACAGCAAUAUCAACAGAAUGCCUUCCCCUGCACGCUUUCUGCUGCUGAAAGAGGGAGACACUUCUUAAUACAUCACUGCAAGAAGCUCAGAUACUCCCAU